Cherax quadricarinatus is the source of this 3034-nucleotide RNA transcript. It is a transcript of the gene named mitochondrial ribosomal protein S10, with no coding region annotated. The record is from RefSeq and is a predicted model, not a curated record. NCBI's taxonomy places the organism in Eukaryota, Metazoa, Arthropoda, Malacostraca, Decapoda, Parastacidae.
AGAAUAAGUCUGACGGGACUUCUGCGUCAGCCUUCGUCGGGUGUAGACGUCUCUCGCCUGAGUAUCAGUGACAAAUUUUCCCCUUUCUCUCUGGGACGCAUAUCCUCAUCUAUUUUACCCGCCGGGCACUCUACAGGAAUGGCACCUGUUCAUCAGCUUACUUUAGCCAGCUCCAUUUUUUCCGCUCUGCGCAUAAUUCUUUAACGGUCUUUGGUGGGAAGCCGGUUUCUGUACUCAGGUAGAGGUGUAGGCGUCCAUCUCUGCUUGACAAGGGCAUCCACCAGAUCUAAUUGAAAACUUCAAGUUUCUGUCUCCGUUUACAAGGGAACUUUUGUUCCUUUUCUCUCACCGUCCAGCCUUUUUUUUAGUUUAAUAUCUUUAUUAUGCACACCAUACCCAUCCUGUGGCGGUAGUCAAAAGAUUACAGAGGUACAUAAUGGGUCCAGGGACUGGACCUCAAAGGUUUGAUAGCUGAGCAAGUUACAAAGGUAAUGAAGUCACAAUUUACAAAGGUAAUGAAGUCACAAUUUACAAAGGUAAUGAAGUCACAAUUUACAAAGGUAAUAAACUCCAGGUAGGUCUGGUCACCGUCCAGCCUUGGACAACAAAUAUUGUUGGUACCAACGAGAAGCCGGACUCGAGACUUGUGCCCUCAGUGGCCCUUAUAAACCCAACAACAAUAACAAAUUUGGUGGAGAUUUUUUCCCUGGACACCGGAAGACAGUUCUCCAAAAUUCCUAAAUUAUCAGGUGGCUGCAAAAACCCCAAGAGGAGGAAGAAGACAGAGUAAUUUUGAAGAUGAGGAAGGUAGCAAGUGUACUGAUGAUGGCGGGUAACAUCCAGGGUGCAGCUGGAAGCAUCUUUGGUAGGUGUGUAGUACCAAGGAAGCUGGUACGGUCAACUCCAGCUUGUGGUUUCCGAAUCUCAGAGAAACUAUCUGCCAUUCCAUUGCUCAGAUCAAGUUUGUUGCCACAGAGGACCUUGUCUCCAAAAUUAUUCCAUACCGCCAGUCUUUCUUACUUAUCGGCAUCAGAUGAUCUAGCAGUGGGAGAGCCAGAUAAACUGUACAGCUUGGUAGAAGUAGAGUGUCGAGGCCACGACACUGCUGUACUGCGUUCCUACCUAACGUUUGUGUCUUCAGCAGCCAGCCAUCUGAAUGUUUCACUAGAGGAAAUCUUAUGGCCCAAGAAACACAUACACCGCUGGACCCUACUUAAAUCUGUACACAUCCACAAGCACCAUCGUGUGCAGUACGAAGUGCGGACACACUUUCUGAUAAUGAAGUUUGCAAGACUGACAGGUUCCACAACAGACACAUUUCUGGAAUAUAUACAGAGAAACCUUCCUGAAGGAGUGGCCAUGAAAGUCACCAAACACGAACUACACAGACUUCCAGAACAUGUGAAGCCAUCAUCUGAAGUGAUAGUCUAGUAAUGACAGCUCUCUAUGAAAGUACUCUUAUUGUAUAUAGUGCAAGUGGCAAGUGCUCUUAAAAUAUGCUGAUACAAUUCAGAUGACCCUCCGACUGCAACAUCCUCACUCCUCCAGAGUGCAGGCACUUUCCUUCCCACCACCAGGACUCUAAGUCUGGCAAACUUUUUUCUCUAAAUCUCUUCACGUUGGAGUGUGAGCAAUGUGAUAAGGUAAAUGUAUUAUUUAUUUCAAUUCCUCCAAAUUCUGUACAGUACUCCCUUUAACCCGUAAAUGGUCCAAACGUAUAUAUAUGUUUUAUGUGUCCUACAUUUAACAUUGCCACGAUAAGCCUGAGUCGCCUAGACAUGCGAGAAUGGGUGUGAGCACUCACUGUGCACCUGUGCACCAUAUUAAAAUAAUUGGGGAUGCCUGGGUACCAUAUGCUCUUUUUUCCUAUUAAAAAACAACAAUGCUUUUUUUCUCAAAAAAGUUGGGGCAGUACGGUAGUGAACGUAUAUAUACGUUUGGACCGUUUACGGGUUAAGGGAGUUUCCUUGAUGCUGAUGAAAGGCUCUUGGAAGUACACUUCUCUUCCUUGAAUUAAACCUGAUUACCUAACAUUUCUGAGUGUAUGAUCAUCCUCAGAGGUUGACCAUCCACUGGAAUAUAAUAAUUCUGGGUGAAGAGAUGAAGGUAAAUUCUUAUACUUUUUAUUUACUAGUACAUUUGAUUUUUGGACAUGAAUACAUCAUGCCAUCACUACCCAGUAUACAGUAUUACAAAUUUUAUUACAAUAAAUGUUUUGCAUUAUUUAGGUUUUUCAUAAUGUAGACAUUUUGAAGGGGUGGAAAAAAUAUACAUUAUAAUUUAAUGUAUUAAGUACAGCAAACAAACAAAAUCCUUAACUUCACUGCUGAAAAUAGAACAUAACUGCAACAACAAUAGAGUAUUACAAACUAAUAUAAUCACCUUCAUUAAAAUACAAAUAAUAAACAAUACUACAUUACAAAUAGUAUAAAGAAUUCUUUACAUCAGUACCAUAUGCAGUAUUUACAAAUGAAGGUAAAAGUCAAUAUUCUCAUAAUAUUGAUUGGUAAAUAACUGAUUAGGGAUGGGUCGAUACCAGAUUUCUUGCCAUGACCAAUACCAAUACAGGAAGGCUCCAUUUUACAGCACUUUGCUUUAGUGUAUUUCACUAAUACAGUAGUUGUCAAUUAUACCCAUUCUUCAUUUAUUCAGACUUUCUCACUACGUAUAAGCUAAGGACGAAAAUAUUUUAAAGUGAGUAAUGUGUACUGUAUAUCCAUUUUUUAGACCUAGCUCUAUUGCUCACUUAAUAUAUGAUAGGGUAAACAUGUUAUUAGGCUCUUAUAUGCAUUUGAAAGUGAAAAAAAAAAGGCUAAGAUUCACUUUACAGCAGUAGCCCAGAACUUAACCUGCUGUAUAAGCAGGGCCCUUCUGUAGUGAAUUUUAGGUCAAUACCAAUACUCUGGCACAACCCUGUAACUGAUACAAUGACAAAUAAUUGGAAAUAGGAUGUUAAUGUUAUCGAUAAAUUCUUCAGUAAUGUAUUCUGAUAGGUAAGUACCGGUUGCAUGUUGCAAAUAUGGUUUAUAAUGAG